RNAcentral lists this non-coding RNA (184 nucleotides) under Desulfosporosinus sp. Sb-LF. RNAcentral's name for it is "6S / SsrS RNA". It matches the Rfam family "6S / SsrS RNA". From Rfam's summary of the family: E. coli 6S RNA was the first non coding RNA to be sequenced, but its function was unknown until recently. It consists of 184 nucleotides that fold into an extended hairpin structure with a large single-stranded internal bulge. Lineage: Bacteria; Bacillati; Bacillota; Clostridia; Eubacteriales; Desulfitobacteriaceae. The record is from Rfam by way of RNAcentral.
UCCUUCCUGCGAUGUACGAAGAUUUUUAUUUGGUUUUGAUCCUAUAUAGAUGACCGGGAGUUUAAUAAUCUUUCCUAGUAGGUCAAGCCCUUUUUAGGAAAGGGAAGACUGAACUGUAAAGUGAAGACGCCCACCUGCGAGAGCAGGGUCAGAAACCAAAUAGUCCAACGGCAUUGUGGGGUCA